Molecule: long non-coding RNA, 421 nt
Organism: Astyanax mexicanus (Mexican tetra)
Lineage: Eukaryota; Metazoa; Chordata; Actinopteri; Characiformes; Acestrorhamphidae
Exons: 3
Source: RefSeq, a predicted model, not a curated record
AUGUUUGAAACAAAUAACUUAAGUGCACGGUACUCAUUUUAGCUUUAAACCAAGUUCAGCUUGGCUGAUUUAACAUAAACUGAAGACCCGCUGAAGCCACACAAUCCACUUAGUUUGGUUUAAUGCCCGCGUAUUCUCCAGUAAACUGGCUUUGGUAACGCAGUGUUGUGUGACUUGCACAAGCUUCCGUAGGACAAAUGCUGCGCAUGCUCAGAAGUUCAGUCCAUGAACGAGAAACGUCGGCGAGGAUCGCGAGGCAGGUGAAAAGCGGGCGAAUCUUGAUCCAUCCGAGGUGUCUCUGUCAGUAAGAACAGUCCUGCAAUUGUAGGCUGGGUGGUGUACCUUUUUUGGCUCUUGUGUACCAUGAAUGUGGAAGUGUAAAGACUGUGAUGCAGAAGAAAGUAAAAGUAGUUAAUUAUUU